RNAcentral lists this ribosomal RNA (377 nucleotides) under uncultured soil bacterium. RNAcentral's name for it is "bacterial SSU rRNA". It matches the Rfam family "Bacterial small subunit ribosomal RNA", at positions 26 to 430 of the family's 1533-position model. The record is from RNAcentral.
AGAACGAACGCUGGCGGCAUGCCUAAUACAUGCAAGUCGAACGAACUCUUCGGAGUUAGUGGCGCACGGGUGCGUAACGCGUGGGAAUCUGCCCCUUGGUUCGGAAUAACAGUUGGAAACGACUGCUAAUACCGGAUGAUGACGAAAGUCCAAAGAUUUAUCGCCAAGGGAUGAGCCCGCGUAGGAUUAGCUAGUUGGUGAGGUAAAGGCUCACCAAGGCAACGAUCCUUAGCUGGUCUGAGAGGAUGAUCAGCCACACUGGGACUGAGACACGGCCAGACUCCGUACGGGAGCAGCAGUAGGGAAUAUUGGACAAUGGGACGAAAGCCUAGAUCCAGCAAUGCCGCGUGAGUGAUGAAGUCCGUUAGGUUGUAAAC